Molecule: ribosomal RNA, 583 nt
Filed under: uncultured bacterium
Lineage: Bacteria
Description: bacterial SSU rRNA
Rfam family: Bacterial small subunit ribosomal RNA
Source: RNAcentral
CCUACGGGAGGCAGCAGUAGGGAAUCUUCCACAAUGGACGAAAGUCUAAUGGAGCAACGCCGCGUGAACGAUGAAGGCUUUCGGGUCGUAAAGUUCUGUUGUAAGGGAAGAACAAGUGCCGCAGGCAAUGGCGGCACCUUGACGGUACCUUGCGAGAAAGCCACGGCUAACUACGUGCCAGCAGCCGCGGUAAUACGUAGGUGGCAAGCGUUGUCCGGAAUUAUUGGGCGUAAAGCGCGCGCAGGAGGCCUCUUAAGUCUGAUGUGAAAGCCCCCGGCUCAACCGGGGAGGGCCAUUGGAAACUGGGAGGCUUGAGUAUAGGAGAGAAGAGUGGAAUUCCACGUGUAGCGGUGAAAUGCGUAGAGAUGUGGAGGAACACCAGUGGCGAAGGCGACUCUUUGGCCUAUAACUGACGCUGAGGCGCGAAAGCGUGGGGAGCAAACAGGAUUAGAUACCCUGGUAGUCCAUGCUGUAAACGAUGAAUACUCGAUGUUGGCGAUACACUGUCAGCGUUCAAGCGAAAGCAUUAAGUAUUCCACCUGGGGAGUACGAUCGCAAGGUUGAAACUCAAAGGAAUUGACGG